RNAcentral lists this ribosomal RNA (253 nucleotides) under uncultured bacterium. Its description in RNAcentral is "partial 16S ribosomal RNA". It matches the Rfam family "Bacterial small subunit ribosomal RNA", at positions 524 to 776 of the family's 1533-position model. The record is from RNAcentral.
UACAGAGGUCUCAAGCGUUGUUCGGAUUCAUUGGGCGUAAAGGGCGCGUAGGCGGCGGGGUAAGUCGGGUGUGAAAUCUCAGAGCUCAACUCUGAAACUGCACUCGAUACUGCUCUGCUUGAGGACUGGAGAGGAGACUGGAAUUCACGGUGUAGCAGUGAAAUGCGUAGAUAUCGUGAGGAAGACCAGUGGCGAAGGCGGGUCUCUGGACAGUUCCUGACGCUGAGGGGCGAAGGCCAGGGGAGCAAACGGG